RNAcentral lists this small nuclear RNA (162 nucleotides) under Struthio camelus australis. RNAcentral describes it as "U1 spliceosomal RNA (ENSSCUG00000005173.1)". It matches the Rfam family "U1 spliceosomal RNA". From Rfam's summary of the family: U1 is a small nuclear RNA (snRNA) component of the spliceosome (involved in pre-mRNA splicing). Its 5' end forms complementary base pairs with the 5' splice junction, thus defining the 5' donor site of an intron. The record is from RNAcentral. Lineage: Eukaryota; Metazoa; Chordata; Aves; Struthioniformes; Struthionidae.
AUACCAGCCAGGCAGGGGAGACACCGUGACCAGGAGGAUGUAUUUCCCAAAGUGAGGCUCAUCCUCUGCCCGUGGUGUGCACUGACCUUGGCAACCUCCCCGGUCCAGAGAACCAGACUGCACAGCUCGCUGCAGCCAAAGCUGCCUUUGUGCCCUCUCUGA